CUCCUCCUUCGCCAUGUGUUACCUGACAGGAGUUAGUUUCACCGUGUGUUGUGCUCAGUGGGUGUGUCUCUUUUCUGCUUGGGAACUGCUUUAUUCUUUCUUUCUCAAUGCAUUCAUCUGUCUUAAGCCGUCUCUGUCGCCAUCUUUUCCUCAUUUGAACACAGAGCUUCAGCAUGUCUGCUCCUGCCAGUGAUGAUGGUGCUGUGUCUCGCCAUCUAAUGGCCUGUGCUGAUAUUAUAUGCAAAUAUGGUAGAUGUGUGCUGAUGGAUGGGAAGCCCACCUGUGAGUGUAUGCUGGGCUACAUCGGAGACACCUGUAAUGAAACAAUUAAUAACUCUCUGUCUGUGCCGCUCACCCUCGGUUUCCUGGCUUCCAUCAUUGGCUUUAUCAUCAUGUUCUUUGGGAUGGCUUUUUUCCGGCAAAGGCAAAAGGCGAAGAAGAGAGAAAAGGCAGCUGAAGAAGCCCUGUUAAGAAACGGAGCACAUCUUUAACAUGUUUUAAUGCCAAAAAAUAGGUUCGUGGUUCUACAACACAAUGUCUCAAAUGAACUCUAUUAUGAUGGUAACUCUUUUCUCUCUCUCUUUGUGUGUCUUUUUAAACUGUAUCUUUUA
Carassius auratus (goldfish) is the source of this 611-nucleotide long non-coding RNA. RefSeq lists it as uncharacterized. Lineage: Eukaryota; Metazoa; Chordata; Actinopteri; Cypriniformes; Cyprinidae. The transcript is spliced from 3 exons. The record is from RefSeq and is a predicted model, not a curated record.